GGGUUGUGAGGUUAAGCGACUAAGCGUACACGGUGGAUGCCCUGGCAGUCAGAGGCGAUGAAGGGCGUGCUAAUCUGCGAUAAGCGCCGGUAAGGUGAUAUGAACCGUUAUAACCGGCGAUACCCGAAUGGGGAAACCCAGUGUGAUUCGUCACACUAUCAUUAACUGAAUCCAUAGGUUAAUGAGGCGAACCGGGGGAACUGAAACAUCUAAGUACCCCGAGGAAAAGAAAUCAACCGAGAUUCCCCCAGUAGCGGCGAGCGAACGGGGAGGAGCCCAGAGCCUGAAUCAGCAUGUGUGUUAGUGGAAGCGUCUGGAAAGGCGCGCGAUACAGGGUGACAGCCCCGUACACAAAAGCGCAUGUGCUGUGAGCUCGAUGAGUAGGGCGGGACACGUGGUAUCCUGUCUGAAUAUGGGGGGACCAUCCUCCAAGGCUAAAUACUCCUGACUGACCGAUAGUGAACCAGUACCGUGAGGGAAAGGCGAAAAGAACCCCGGCGAGGGGAGUGAAAAAGAACCUGAAACCGUGUACGUACAAGCAGUGGGAGCACNNNNNNNNNNNNNNNNNNNNNNNNNNNNNNNNNNNNNNNNNNNNNNNNNNNNNGGGCGUUAAGUUGCAGGGUAUAGACCCGAAACCCGGUGAUCUAGCCAUGGGCAGGUUGAAGGUUGGGUAACACUAACUGGAGGACCGAACCGACUAAUGUUGAAAAAUUAGCGGAUGACCUGUGGCUGGGGGUGAAAGGCCAAUCAAACCGGGAGAUAGCUGGUUCUCCCCGAAAGCUAUUUAGGUAGCGCCUCGUGAAUUCAUCUCCGGGGGUAGAGCACUGUUUCGGCUAGGGGGCCAUCCCGGCUUACCAACCCGAUGCAAACUGCGAAUACCGGAGAAUGUUAUCACGGGAGACACACGGCGGGUGCUAACGUCCGUCGUGAAGAGGGAAACAACCCAGACCGCCAGCUAAGGUCCCAAAGUCAUGGUUAAGUGGGAAACGAUGUGGGAAGGCCCAGACAGCCAGGAUGUUGGCUUAGAAGCAGCCAUCAUUUAAAGAAAGCGUAAUAGCUCACUGGUCGAGUCGGCCUGCGCGGAAGAUGUAACGGGGCUAAACCAUGCACCGAAGCUGCGGCAGCGACACUGUGUGUUGUUGGGUAGGGGAGCGUUCUGUAAGCCUGCGAAGGUGGCCUGUGAGGGUUGCUGGAGGUAUCAGAAGUGCGAAUGCUGACAUAAGUAACGAUAAAGCGGGUGAAAAGCCCGCUCGCCGGAAGACCAAGGGUUCCUGUCCAACGUUAAUCGGGGCAGGGUGAGUCGACCCCUAAGGCGAGGCCGAAAGGCGUAGUCGAUGGGAAACGGGUUAAUAUUCCCGUACUUGGUGUUACUGCGAAGGGGGGACGGAGAAGGCUAUGUUGGCCGGGCGACGGUUGUCCCGGUUUAAGCGUGUAGGUGUGUGUUCCAGGUAAAUCCGGUUCACUUUAACACUGAGGCGUGACGACGAGGCACUACGGUGCUGAAGCAACAAAUGCCCUGCUUCCAGGAAAAGCCUCUAAGCAUCAGGUAACAUCAAAUCGUACCCCAAACCGACACAGGUGGUCAGGUAGAGAAUACCAAGGCGCUUGAGAGAACUCGGGUGAAGGAACUAGGCAAAAUGGUGCCGUAACUUCGGGAGAAGGCACGCUGACACGUAGGUGAAGUGAUUUACUCAUGGAGCUGAAGUCAGUCGAAGAUACCAGCUGGCUGCAACUGUUUAUUAAAAACACAGCACUGUGCAAACACGAAAGUGGACGUAUACGGUGUGACGCCUGCCCGGUGCCGGAAGGUUAAUUGAUGGGGUCAGCGCAAGCGAAGCUCCUGAUCGAAGCCCCGGUAAACGGCGGCCGUAACUAUAACGGUCCUAAGGUAGCGAAAUUCCUUGUCGGGUAAGUUCCGACCUGCACGAAUGGCGUAAUGAUGGCCAGGCUGUCUCCACCCGAGACUCAGUGAAAUUGAACUCGCUGUGAAGAUGCAGUGUACCCGCGGCAAGACGGAAAGACCCCGUGAACCUUUACUAUAGCUUGACACUGAACAUUGAGCCUUGAUGUGUAGGAUAGGUGGGAGGCUUUGAAGUGUGGACGCCAGUCUGCAUGGAGCCGACCUUGAAAUACCACCCUUUAAUGUUUGAUGUUCUAACGUGGACCCGUUACCCGGGUUGCGGACAGUGUCUGGUGGGUAGUUUGACUGGGGCGGUCUCCUCCUAAAGAGUAACGGAGGAGCACGAAGGUUGGCUAAUCCUGGUCGGACAUCAGGAGGUUAGUGCAAUGGCAUAAGCCAGCUUGACUGCGAGCGUGACGGCGCGAGCAGGUGCGAAAGCAGGUCAUAGUGAUCCGGUGGUUCUGAAUGGAAGGGCCAUCGCUCAACGGAUAAAAGGUACUCCGGGGAUAACAGGCUGAUACCGCCCAAGAGUUCAUAUCGACGGCGGUGUUUGGCACCUCGAUGUCGGCUCAUCACAUCCUGGGGCUGAAGUAGGUCCCAAGGGUAUGGCUGUUCGCCAUUUAAAGUGGUACGCGAGCUGGGUUUAGAACGUCGUGAGACAGUUCGGUCCCUAUCUGCCGUGGGCGCUGGAGAACUGAGGGGGGCUGCUCCUAGUACGAGAGGACCGGAGUGGACGCAUCACUGGUGUUCGGGUUGUCAUGCCAAUGGCACUGCCCGGUAGCUAAAUGCGGAAGAGAUAAGUGCUGAAAGCAUCUAAGCACGAAACUUGCCCCGAGAUGAGUUCUCCCUGAGACUUAGAGUCUCCUGAAGGAACGUUGAAGACGACGACGUUGAUAGGCCGGGUGUGUAAGCGCAGCGAUGCGUUGAGCUAACCGGUACUAAUGAACCGUGAGGCUUAACCUUACAACGCCGAAG
Molecule: ribosomal RNA, 2875 nt
Filed under: Salmonella enterica subsp. enterica serovar Enteritidis
Lineage: Bacteria; Pseudomonadati; Pseudomonadota; Gammaproteobacteria; Enterobacterales; Enterobacteriaceae
Description: bacterial LSU rRNA
Rfam family: Bacterial large subunit ribosomal RNA
Source: RNAcentral